Molecule: long non-coding RNA, 191 nt
Organism: Xiphias gladius (swordfish)
Lineage: Eukaryota; Metazoa; Chordata; Actinopteri; Istiophoriformes; Xiphiidae
Exons: 3
Source: RefSeq, a predicted model, not a curated record
AAUGCAUUAGGGGUUGUAAAUUAAAGCCAUCAGUGAUCGUUGCGAAAGACUUCACCCGACUUCUGCUGCCGCUUUGCUGACAUUUAUGUUUCAUUGUGUCCUGCUACCUCGCCAAAGGCCGAGAAGCCUUUGCAGGAUCACAGCACAAGCUCCUGCAGCCAAUGUUGGGAGCCGAAAGCCAACACAACAUG